AAGCGGGUGUGAGUCCCGCAAGCAGAAUUGUCCGGUUGCUGCUUUAGCCUGGAUCAAUCGCGUGGGUGGUGAUGCUUACGCGAUAGGCUGAUCGACAAAAUGCCUGAAGGGUUCGUGUCAGGUGUUUGGCAAUUCGGCAGGUCGUAGUGAAA
Non-coding RNA from Bdellovibrionales bacterium RBG_16_40_8, 152 nucleotides. The record is from Rfam. NCBI's taxonomy places the organism in Bacteria, Pseudomonadati, Bdellovibrionota, Bdellovibrionia, Bdellovibrionales.